RNAcentral lists this long non-coding RNA (277 nucleotides) under Pan troglodytes (chimpanzee). RNAcentral describes it as "long non-coding RNA NONPTRT008647". The record is from RNAcentral. Lineage: Eukaryota; Metazoa; Chordata; Mammalia; Primates; Hominidae.
GGUGGGAAGAUUCCAUUUUCAACCUGCAGUCUACAAUGGGGUGGUUGGGAAGACCUCAAGGAGAGGAUGACAUUGACCUAUUUGCUGGGCUCCCCAAGGGAAGAGCAUUCCAGGUCAUCGGAUGAAAGAGAAGAUUGGAAGAAGCUACUGAAGGUAAAGCAGAAAUAUAAGGGAUAAUUCCUCAACUACAGUGGACAGAGUUGGAAUCUGAGCCAAGCGGAGCAGUCAUGCUGAGUUCAGGAAGCCUCACUGCUAAAUGCCACCUAUCAAAGUGGCC